Molecule: long non-coding RNA, 1400 nt
Organism: Rhododendron vialii
Lineage: Eukaryota; Viridiplantae; Streptophyta; Magnoliopsida; Ericales; Ericaceae
Exons: 4
Source: RefSeq, a predicted model, not a curated record
CUGUUUGUCGAUUCUGUCUAUAGUAUACUCAAUACUCUUCCAAAACACACGCACCGAUUCUCUCGAGUAACUCCCAAACGACGCAUCCCAGAAUCCACCGGCUCCCCCAACUAUACCAUAUACCAUCACAACUGCCGACUACUUCAAAUGGAGACUCACCCCGACCCCAUUCCGCCCACAUCUCCAACUCCGACCGCCAAAGACCGAAGUUCCUGCCAAUUCAAACCCCCACCGUCCACCGUACCUCCCUACACCGCUAGAGUUUCCGCCGCCGGAUAGAAUUGCCUGUGGCCAGAUGGUCUGAACCGUGAGCCAGCGCUGGGGAGAAACGGGUGAAAGAGUGUUGGGGAAUUGGGUUUUGACUGUAGAAAUGGGUCAAGUAUUUCCCAUCUAUGAUACUUACAUCAACAUGAUAAUAUUAAGCAAAUCAAUGUCAAAGCCUCAAGGUCAUCAGCUACUUUAAUUAAGCCUUCAGAUAUUGGUGAAUAAUUAAUUGGACAACCUAGGAGCGAUGGGGAAGAGAAAGAGCACUUCACAGUUCUAUUGAUACCCUCAAUGCACAUGAAGUGAGUAUUCUUUUAAAUCUUAGAAGUGAGUCUUACAAAAGAACAACUCUUGUUGCUCAACAAGUGAGUGGUUUAGAGGAGGAGGAAGAAGCGUUGAGGAAAGAUUCUGAAGUUGAGAAUCAGGUCAAGGAUUUGAAGGAAUUUGAGGUGGAGGUGGUGGAGCUAAAGAGGAAGAAUAAAGAGCUUCAGCAUGAAAAGAGGGAGUUGAGUAUUAAGCUGGAUGCUGCUGAGCCCAGAAUUAGAACACUCUCUGGGAUGACCGAGAGCUCCGGUUCUUCUCAUACCGGUCAUAUGCAGGCUGAGUUCUCAAAAACAGCAACACACUUGACGCCAGUCCCACGAUAGAUAUACACCCCCAGCCAACAAACGUCAAGAAAUAGCACUGUCGACCCAUGCACACGACCGACUCGGUCAUCAUUCCGCUUGGGGCUGCGUUGGCAUCGUAGAUGAGCGAUGCUAGGAGGCCGUAGACUAGCGACCCAAUGGGGAUGUUGGUAAUGAGGAUGUUGUGGUUGACGCCAACACUGUUUGGUCCGAACAGCUCUGAGGUUACGGAGACUGCAGCAGCAAAUAUGAAGCCGGAGCUCAGGCCAAUGAGAGCUGUCCCUGCACGGAGGGCUCUCGCCGUGCCAGAGACUGCUAGCAUGAAGAAGGCGAUCGGGGUGGGGAUGAGGGCGAUGGCUAGCCACCCCGUCCUCGCAAAAUAGAUCUUCCUGUACAAAAAAAUGAACAUAUAUAUCUUUGUUUAGUGCCAUAAAAUUGUAUUGCUGCACAUACAUCUUGUGGUUACUCACAGUCUAUUGAUCUGAUCAAAGCUUUAGUUUUGCUGCUAAA